This is a long non-coding RNA of Xenia sp. Carnegie-2017, 1289 nucleotides long. RefSeq lists it as uncharacterized. The transcript has 2 exons. The record is from RefSeq and is a predicted model, not a curated record. Lineage: Eukaryota; Metazoa; Cnidaria; Anthozoa; Malacalcyonacea; Xeniidae.
UUGAAGAGAGGAAAUCCUUAUUAAGAAAAUGUUGAACAUCAAUAUACCGCUAUCAUAGGUCAUUAACAUGUGUUAAGCAUUAGAUUCUAUCAUUCAACACCUACCUUGGGUUUUAGGAAAUCAUCUACAGGUGAGCUGAAACCUAAACUUCCGAUUAAAAAAUUGACAAAUCUCAAUUCCUAGAUGAUAGAAGGGUAUGUUCUUGAUUGUGACGACGAAAGGGCAUAAUGAAAAGCCUUCAGUGUAUAUGAGUUGUGCUAACACUACAGAUUUUGCCUUACUUAAGAUGUCCUUCUUCUUACUUUAUCCAGUAAUAGCCUCAUGCAGUCUAGAAUAUAUUGUUGCGCCUGGCUGGACCUGGAUCUGGACUUCUAGACUUACUCUGAACUAUUAAAACUGUAUGCACUUGUAAGGUGUGUGUCUGGCAUAAUUUAUUUGAAUACCUUCAAAACUUCUGAAAACAUCAAUGAAAGCUACAAGCUUCACCAGCUAUUUUUCCAGCAGUAAUGACGUCCAUUGCUUUCGUUUCAAAUCAUCAAAAAGAUUAUCUUUAGCAAAAAAUAUCACUUUAGAUUUACGACUAAAUGCUUUGUAAAGCAUGACAUGAUUAUUUGUAAAUAAGGAGAAAAAAAUAUAGUGUGUCUUCUUUUGCUUUAAAGUUGGCAUAACGACUUAAAAUGAAUACUUCCAGUUUUACGGAUAGAUGGCGUGAGGAUGCAUUCAAAGGAAUUUUAUCUGAAGGGUUAAGCGACUUGAAUUUACUGCAUUUGCUGCGUCUAGCCUCGCCAAUAACUUAAAUAUAAAAGCAAAAGAGGCUUAUUUCGGGGUGAAGCUACCAUUUUCCUCCAGUGACGUCUCGCCUGGGUUGAAAGUGAAAUCAAUGCCUGGAACAUGUAUUUGAUGAAAAACUUCAAAUUUCAAGUGCUGUUGGAGGAAGGUGGUUGACAUGCGUACUUAAAUCACUCGCUGUAUUCUUGAAAUCAGAAAACUAAUUGAUUAAUUGCAACAAGAAAGUAGAAUGUGUUUUGGGUACCAUGCAUGUUCCAGUAAUCAUUAUGUUUAUGGCCAUUGGUCUUAUCCGGAAACUGAAAUAAAUUAACAUUGAAGAUGAUAACGGCAAACACAUGAAUGUCUGAUUACUUAUAAUUAGAUCAUUAAAUCGUGCUUCAUCGUAAAAUAACUAUAAAACUAAUGUGAUAACAACAGCAAAAUUACGUUUUCAACGAUGUUAUUUUAUGUACAUGAAUGCAUGUACACAUCUUUAUAAUAGAAUUGUUAUGACUACAAAA